Molecule: long non-coding RNA, 249 nt
Organism: Zeugodacus cucurbitae (melon fly)
Lineage: Eukaryota; Metazoa; Arthropoda; Insecta; Diptera; Tephritidae
Exons: 2
Source: RefSeq, a predicted model, not a curated record
AGAGCUGCGCGUCAAAGCAUCUUCGCGGGCAUUCGGUGAAAUUUUCAACAGAAAAAUUAACGACAAUAGCGCUAAUAGCAGGGAAACUGUGAGCGGCAUAAGGAAUAAAAGGAAACAAAAAACACGCCAAUGAAAUACAGGCGAACUGAAGGAAAUAACACUAGGCCGAACGUCGGCUACAAAGAAAUCGUACUAACCAUGCCAAUAGGCGUACACAUACCUACACCACUAUAGAAUGAGCGCCCACAA